Molecule: ribosomal RNA, 478 nt
Filed under: uncultured bacterium
Lineage: Bacteria
Description: partial 16S ribosomal RNA
Rfam family: Bacterial small subunit ribosomal RNA
Source: RNAcentral
GAUGAACGCUGGCGGCGUGCUUAACACAUGCAAGUCGAACGAGAAGUGGAGACGGAAACCUUCGGGCGGAAGACUUUAUUUCGAGUGGCGGACGGGUGAGUAACGCGUGGGUAACCUGCCUCAUACAGGGGGAUAACAGUUGGAAACGACUGUUAAUACCGCAUAAGACCACAGCACCGCAUGGUGCGGGGGUAAAAACUCCGGUGGUAUGAGAUGGACCCGCGUUCGAUUAGCCAGUUGGCGGGGUAACGGCCCACCAAGGCGACGAUCGAUAGCCGAUCUGAGAGGAUGACCGGCCACAUUGGGACUGAGACACGGCCCAAACUCCUACGGGAGGCAGCAGUGGGGAAUAUUGCACAAUGGGGGAAACCCUGAUGCAGCGACGCCGCGUGAGUGAAGAAGUAUUUCGGUAUGUAAAGCUCUAUCAGCAGGGAAGAAAAUGACGGUACCUGAGUAAGAAGCCCCGGCUAACUACGUG